GAGGGGAUUAUAUCCUGUCUAGGCGUGUAUACCAUCCAGGAGUGCCACAUGGCAGUAAACCUGGCGUGAGUGUUAAGGGAGAACGCGGUUAGUUCCUCCAUCUGUUUUAUGCCGUCUACCCUGUUCCUCUAUUCCGCUAUGGUGGGGAUCCGCGGGGAUCUCCAAUAGAGAGAAAUAAGAGAUUUAGCUGUGUUACGGUUGCCCCAGGCUAGCUGAGAGUUGGACCGUAGAUGGAUG
Molecule: non-coding RNA, 237 nt
Organism: Pelobates cultripes (western spadefoot toad)
Lineage: Eukaryota; Metazoa; Chordata; Amphibia; Anura; Pelobatidae
Source: the annotation of a GenBank genome assembly